This 440-nucleotide ribosomal RNA is filed under the name Bemisia tabaci. RNAcentral describes it as "partial 16S ribosomal RNA". The record is from RNAcentral. Lineage: Eukaryota; Metazoa; Arthropoda; Insecta; Hemiptera; Aleyrodidae.
GCCUGCUUAACAAAAACAUAGUUUAAAGAAAAAGAUUUUAGAUAAAUUCUGCUCAAUGAGUAAAUUAAAUAGCUGCAGUAAAUUAACUGUACUAAGGUAGCAUAAUAAGUUGCUUUAUAAUUAAAAGCUUGAAUGAAAGAAAUAAUGUGAAACAAGCUUUUUAAACUAAAGUAGUAAAAAUUAAUAUUUAAGUGAAAAAUCUUAAAUAAAAUCAAAAGACAAGAAGACCCUUUAGAACUUUACAAAUUAACUUAAUUUCAUUUGGUUAAUUUGUUAGAUUGGGGAGAUUUUUAAAUAAAUGAAUCUUUAGAUAUAAAAAAAUGAUUUAAAUCAAAUUAAAUUAUCCAAAUAUGAAAUAAAACAAGUUACCUAAGGGAUAACAGCGCAAAAUUUUUGAGAAGUUCUCAUUUACAAAAUAAAUUGCGACCUCGAUGUUGGAU